CCGAGCGGCGGACGGCUGAGUAACACGUUAGUAACUGCCCCAAACUCAGGAAUAACUCCGCUAAAGCGGAGCUAAUACCGGAUAGUCCCGAAAGGGUAAAGAUUUAUCGGUUUGGGAGGUGCUUGCGGCCUAUCAGCUAGUUGGUAGGGUAAUGGCCUACCAAGGCAAUUGACGGGUAGCUGGCCUGAGAGGGUGGUCAGCCACAUGGGGACUGAGACACCGCCCCAACUCCUACGGGAGGCUGCAGUCGAGGAUAUUUAGCAAUGGGCGAAAGCCUGACUAUGCGACGCCGCGUGAGGGAUGAAGGUCUUCGGAUCGUAAACCUCUUUCAAUGGGGAAGAAACUCCCGAAUUAAUACCUCGGGACUGACGCUACCCAGAGAAGAAGCCACGGCCA
Molecule: ribosomal RNA, 396 nt
Filed under: uncultured bacterium
Lineage: Bacteria
Description: bacterial SSU rRNA
Rfam family: Bacterial small subunit ribosomal RNA
Source: RNAcentral